GAUGAACGCUGGCGGCGUGCCUAAUACAUGCAAGUCGAGCGAACGGACGAGAAGCUUGCUUCUCUGAUGUUAGCGGCGGACGGGUGAGUAACACGUGGAUAACCUACCUAUAAGACUGGGAUAACUUCGGGAAACCGGAGCUAAUACCGGAUGAUAUUUUGAACCGCAUGGGUCAAAAGUGAAAGACGGUCUUGCUGUCACUUAUAGAUGGAUCCGCGCUGCAUUAGCUAGUUGGUAAGGUAACGGCUUACCAAGGCAACGAUGCAUAGCCGACCUGAGAGGGUGAUCGGCCACACUGGAACGGAGACACGGUCCAGACUCCUACGGGAGGCAGCAGUAGGGAAUCUUCCGCAAUGGGCGAAAGCCUGACGGAGCAACGCCGCGUGAGUGAUGAAGGUCUUCGGAUCGUAAAACUCUGUUAUUAGGGAAGAACAUAUGUGUAAGUAACUGUGCACAUCUUGACGGUACCUAAUCAGAAAGCCACGGCUAACUACGUG
This 497-nucleotide ribosomal RNA is filed under the name uncultured bacterium. RNAcentral's name for it is "partial 16S ribosomal RNA". It matches the Rfam family "Bacterial small subunit ribosomal RNA", at positions 28 to 507 of the family's 1533-position model. The record is from RNAcentral.